AACGCACCUUGCGCUCCUUGGUAUUCUGAGGAGCAUGCCUGUUUGAGUGUCAUUAAAUUCUCAACUUCAUCACUUGUGUUGAAGCUUGGAUGUGGGGGUUGUGCAGAAUGCGUAACGGUGGUCUGCUCCCCUUAAAUGAAUUAGCGAGUUCAAACUGAGCUCUGUCUAUUGGUGUGAUAAUUAUCUACGCCGUGGAUUGGACUUAGACUUGCUUCUAAUCGUCCGCAAGGACAAUACUUUGACAAUUUGACCUCAAAUCAGGUAGGACUACCCGCUGAACUUAA
RNAcentral lists this unclassified non-coding RNA (284 nucleotides) under uncultured Psathyrella. Its description in RNAcentral is "sequence contains ITS2". Lineage: Eukaryota; Fungi; Basidiomycota; Agaricomycetes; Agaricales; Psathyrellaceae. The record is from RNAcentral.